GCAAUGCCUGCCCAGUGCGAUUAACUUCGUAAACGGCCGCCCUAGCGUGAGGGUGCUAAGGUAGCGAAAUUCCUUGCCUUUUAAUUGUAGGCCUGCAUGAAUGGCUCGACGAGGGUUUAACUGUCUCUAGUCUUAGAUUUUAAAUUGGAUUAAAGGUGAAGAUACCUUUAUAAAAAAGUCAGACAAGAAGACCCCGUGCAACUUUUAAAAUCAGCUUAUUAAGAAAUCUUAGAUUUUUAGGUGGGGCGCCUAUUAAGUAAGUGUAACCUUUUUAACUAUAAAAAACUCUCAGGUAUAGACCCGGUAAUUACCGAUCAUAGGAGAAGUUACGCCGGGGAUAACAGGCUAAUUCACUAGUAGAGAACGUAUUGGCUAGUGAGAUUGGCACCUCGAUGUUGAAUCAGGGAUGAUACCUUUAAGGCGUAGAAGCUUUAA
Molecule: ribosomal RNA, 435 nt
Filed under: Dendostrea crenulifera
Lineage: Eukaryota; Metazoa; Mollusca; Bivalvia; Ostreida; Ostreidae
Description: partial 16S ribosomal RNA
Rfam family: Bacterial large subunit ribosomal RNA
Source: RNAcentral